UACGUAGGGCGCAAGCGUUGUCCGGAAUUAUUGGGCGUAAAGAGCUCGUAGGCGGCUUGUCGCGUCGAUUGUGAAAGCCCGGGGCUUAACUCCGGGUCUGCAGUCGAUACGGGCAGGCUAGAGUGUGGUAGGGGAGAUCGGAAUUCCUGGUGUAGCGGUGAAAUGCGCAGAUAUCAGGAGGAACACCGGUGGCGAAGGCGGGUCUCUGGGCCGUAACUGACGCUGAGGAGCGAAAGCAUGGGGAGCGAACAGG
Molecule: ribosomal RNA, 253 nt
Filed under: uncultured bacterium
Lineage: Bacteria
Description: partial 16S ribosomal RNA
Rfam family: Bacterial small subunit ribosomal RNA
Source: RNAcentral